GCCCGGCUAGCUCAAUGGCAGAGCGCUGAACUUCUACUAUGUUAUCUUUAAUUAAUAACUGGUGUUAUUCAGAGGCUGGGGGUUCGAGUCCCCCGUUGGGCU
Molecule: non-coding RNA, 102 nt
Organism: Daldinia sp. FL1419
Lineage: Eukaryota; Fungi; Ascomycota; Sordariomycetes; Xylariales; Hypoxylaceae
Source: the annotation of a GenBank genome assembly